AGUGAACGCUGGCGGUAGGCCUAACACAUGCAAGUCGAACGGCAGCACAGGAGAACUUGCUCUCUAGGUGGCGAGUGGCGGACGGGUGAGGAAUACAUCGGAAUCUGCCCAGUCGUGGGGGAUAACGUAGGGAAACUUACGCUAAUACCGCAUACGACCUUCGGGUGAAAGAGGGGGAUCGCAAGACCUCUCGCGAUUGGAUGAGCCGAUGUCGGAUUAGCUAGUUAGCGGGGUAAUGGCCCACCAAGGCGACGAUCCGUAGCUGGUCUGAGAGGAUGAUCAGCCACACUGGAACUGAGACACGGUCCAGACUCCUACGGGAGGCAGCAGUGGGGAAUAUUGGACAAUGGGCGCAAGCCUGAUCCAGCCAUACCGCGUGGGUGAAGAAGGCCUUCGGGUUGUAAAGCCCUUUUGUUGGGAAAGAAAUCGUUCAGGCUAAUACCCUGGGAGGAUGACGGUACCCAAAGAAUAAGCACCGGCUAACUUCGUG
RNAcentral lists this ribosomal RNA (490 nucleotides) under uncultured bacterium. RNAcentral describes it as "partial 16S ribosomal RNA". It matches the Rfam family "Bacterial small subunit ribosomal RNA", at positions 29 to 507 of the family's 1533-position model. The record is from RNAcentral.